UACGUAGGGACCGAGCGUUGUCCGGAUUCAUUGGGCGUAAAGAGCUCGUAGGCGGCCACUCAAGUCGAAUGUGAAACCUCGAGGCUUAACCUCGAGCCUGCAUUCGAUACUGGGCGGCUAGAGUCUGGUAGGGGGAUCUGGAAUUCCUGGUGUAGCGGUGGAAUGCGCAGAUAUCAGGAGGAACACCGGUGGCGAAGGCGGCUACCUGGACCGGUUCUGACGCUGAGGCGCGAAAGCGUGGGUAGCAAACAGG
RNAcentral lists this ribosomal RNA (253 nucleotides) under uncultured bacterium. RNAcentral's name for it is "partial 16S ribosomal RNA". It matches the Rfam family "Bacterial small subunit ribosomal RNA", at positions 524 to 776 of the family's 1533-position model. The record is from RNAcentral.